Pelobates cultripes (western spadefoot toad) is the source of this 224-nucleotide non-coding RNA. Lineage: Eukaryota; Metazoa; Chordata; Amphibia; Anura; Pelobatidae. The record is from the annotation of a GenBank genome assembly.
GACCGGAAGCGGUCCCACCACACAAGCGAUACUUGGCAGAGGUACCCAGGGAGCUAUGCUACAUCUUUCACCCAGGUUCUCUGUGUGUCUCUCCCCUGAGCCCCUUUAUGUGUCUCUUCUCCCUGUUUGUGUGUCUUUUACUCCACCCACAGCACCUGUGUGCAUCCUUUACUUCUCCCAGCUGAUCUGUCUCUUUUCUCCUGUCCCCUUUGUGUCUCUUCUUC